UUUUUUUUUUUUUUUUUUUUUUUUUUUUCAUUUUAAGAUAGGGAGAGGAAACCUGAGAAAAGAUACCAACUCUCUCCAUGUCAUUCUCUGACGAAGUAGUGCAGCUAGCUUUCAAACUCAAACCAAAUUUAUGCUCUAGAUGAUAAACAAAAUGAUCUCUCCCAUCUCUAUUCGGUAUAUAACAAAAAAUCCUGUUUUGGAGUAUAUAAAAUUAAAGGUAUAUUUUAUCAUAGUGCUAAUAAGCCUGUGCUCCUCUACUCACAAGCUGCUGGAGAUGCCCGAAAACCACCACCAUGACAGGUGAGGUAGGACCCCCUCAGGCUAUCUCAAGGAGUAUUUGGCCCUAGUCAUUCAAAAGCCAUGGAAAAUUCUGACCAAUCCCUGAGAAUGUUCACACAAUGCAGAAACCGUAAUCCUACACAGUGUUGUAAGGCCUUGCUUCUGGACUGCAGCUAAACCAGUUCAUAAGGUCAAGAUCAGGACCAAACAUAUGCUAUCUCUCUUCCCUGUUUAUUAUGAGUCACUGCCCAGAGUCCAAACUUCUCAGAUCAUUCAAUCAUUUCCUCAAGUCUCAUUUCCACAAUGCUGUCAACAUAUUUUCUCCUAACCCAAUUUUUCAUUCUAACAUUCCUUCCUAAACCUUUUAUAUUUACCACUGAUAUUCUUCUAAAUUGUUAUUUAUGAUUACUUUAACUGAAACCUAGGCAUUCUCAGAAAACAAAAUUUCCUCCUUAUCUUUCUCAGGCAAGGGGUUUUGUUUGUUUCCCUCCCACACCCUCAUAUUGUUUAAGUGUUGGGCUACGAAGUGAAAUUAGUGUCCUCUAGGUUUUUAUCAGGAAACAUCCAAAUCCAAAGUUCUAGAACUUUGUCUUUUGUAUCAGCCAGCUUCACCACUCUCCCUUAACUCCAAACUCCAAUCCAUGUGCACAUCUUCAUUGUGCACAAUCUCCAUCUUCACCCUAGCUGCUGUAAUCAUCCAAAUGAAUUCAAUAGCCACAUAGAUGAACCACCCAACAAUCUUGACUGUGUUCAUUGAACCUCUAAGAUCUCCUCCAUUUCACCUAGGUCACCUACUCCCUUAGUGACAACUUGAGCUCCGCCAUCUCAAGAAACUCAAAUUACUCCCAAAAUACCCAUUGCAGAUAUCCCACUCUGACCAAAACAUUCCAUUCUUCCAGUCACUUGCCAACCACUCCUUCUCUCCCCUGAAGCAGUUGUUCGUCUAACUCUGAGAUCAUCAACCCAAUAACCCUACUAUUUUGACCAUGGGUGGCAGCCUUUCUGUCUUAAUGGUCUUUCACUGUACCUCUUCAGUCUGAAACAUACUCACGUCUGCUACUCUGUUACAGAUACAGCUAAUUCCACUGUCCUUCUCACUGUCAUCAGCCCCAAAUAAGAAAAUCACAUCUCCAGAUGAAUCUCGCCAUAAACCUUCUCCUAAAAAAGCUUUCUGCAAAUGUUUCUUUAGUUCUUCACUUUCACCUCAUUCUUCAGUUUAGUCUGGCUUCUGGCCCUACCACUUGAAAAAAGUGCUCUUGUAAAAGAAACUAAUCCCACCAACUGUCUAAAUCACAGAGAAACUUAUUUCAAUUUUCUAGGAUUCAACAAGCUGACCACCAACAAACUUCUGGUUCUUACAACACCCCCUUUUCUUUUCUUUCUUAACAGGACAUUCUCCUAGUUUUCCUCUCGUUUCUCAUACAGCCCCGUCUAGUGGCACUCGUUCACUCCUUCUCUGCUGAAGACCUUUAACUGUCAGAAUUUUGUAGGCUCAGAUCUAAGUUAUGUACAUAUUUGAACAUAUCCUCAUUCGUUAAGUGUUUAUAUCUCUUCCUAUUGUUUUUUAAAGAUUUUAUUUAUUUGAGAGAGAGAGAGCAUGAGUGAGAGGAGGGAUGGAGGGAGAGGGAAAAGCAGAUUCCUGCAGAGCUGGGAGUCUGACACCAGGGCUUCGUCCCAGGACCCCAGAUCACGACCUGAGCUGAAAGCAAACACUUAACCACGUAAGCCACCCAGGCGUCCCAUCUCCUCCAGUUUUUUUUUUUUAAUCAUGAAUAUAAAGCAUAUUUAUAUCGUGACCUCUCUUCUAAGCCUUACCUAUAGCCCAAGGCCUAAAUGAUAUGCUAUUUGGAUAUUUCACAAUUCAAUUGUUUACUUAUUUAAUUAAUUUAACAAUUCGCCUCAAUCUGCCUGUCACUGUUAGGUAAUGAAAAGGCAAUCAGCUCAUGCAUGAUCAAUAGCAUUUCAUGUUACAAAUUCGAAAUUUAAAAACUACAUCAAUGAAAUAUUCUUAGUAUUGGCUUUAUUUCCCUGAAUCACCACCAGGCUCCCUGUAGAGUUCUUCAAUGUACACUCCACUUUGUUCUUCUGAAAAAAUUCUGUUUUUCAUUAUUUUCAAAUGUAAUUGACCUCCUUUCAAGUGCAUAUUGCUAGCUCUCCCUUUCAAAGAGACUUUGGAAGUUUGUUUACUUGUGAGGACAGGGUUCUUUUCCUCCUAUGAAUUAUAAAGCAAUUCUUGAAAGCCUGGGGGUGGUACGGGUAGUGAACUUGGGUUGCACUAACAUAUGAAUGAGAACCUGUAAAGUAAACUUGAUGUGUAAAUAACUCAGGUAUGGUAGUUUCCCUUUAUCUACCUGGUAGUUAUGUGCCUAAUUUCUUUGUGCAUGCAGUCCUUGAGUAAGCAGUGCCGGCCAUACUUUCAAGUUUGGAAUCUGUGGUCCUAUUUUUUUUCUUUAGGAAUUGAGUAUACAUUUUCCUUUAGGAAUUGAGCAUACAGGGAUGCCUGGGUGGCUCAGCGGUUUAGCCUCUGCCUUAGGCCCAAGGUGUGAUCCUGGAGUCCCAGAUCGGGCUCCUUGCAUGGAGCCUGCUUCUCCCUCUGC
RNAcentral lists this long non-coding RNA (2876 nucleotides) under Canis lupus familiaris (dog). Its description in RNAcentral is "lncRNA (ENSCAFG00845000013.1)". Lineage: Eukaryota; Metazoa; Chordata; Mammalia; Carnivora; Canidae. The record is from RNAcentral.